Molecule: long non-coding RNA, 595 nt
Filed under: Gallus gallus (chicken)
Lineage: Eukaryota; Metazoa; Chordata; Aves; Galliformes; Phasianidae
Source: RNAcentral
CACGGUUUUCUCCACACUGACCACCUCACCUUUGGGAAAUUUCUUGAUCAGGUUGAGGUGCAGAUUCUGUGCUGCAAACUUUGAGGCUCGGACUCCCCCGUGGCCAUCAAAAACAGCGAAGUAUGAGACACGUGUGACUUGGGAGGGCAGAGGCUGGCACUCCUCAGUGAUAUCAUUUAAGAUGACAUGUGCAUCCUGCAUGUCUUCUCUUUCACCUUUCCUCUCCGCCACGUAGCCCUUCAAUCCAAGAAUGCCCACUGACCCUUUACAAACUUUCUUUUCCACAAGUUCUUCCCUGCCAUUCUUCUCUUCCUCCUCCAUGGACUUCCUCUUCUCCCCUUUUGCAUGGCUCCCUUCUGAGACCUGCUCAGGAGCGCUGGAGGCUGCAUCACUACUGCUGGCUGGUGGAAGAUCAUCGAAGAGUAAAGAGCUUCCUUUUCCUGUGUCGGCGCUGCCGGCCGGCGGGAGGUCGUCGAAGAGCCGAAGCUGCCCCUGGGCCUCCUUCCCCUGGGCUGAGCCGCCAGGCUCGGGCAGGUCCCCGAACAGGUCCAUCCACCGCGCCCGGCCCAACGCCGCCCGCCCCGCCGCCGCGCCC